This is an RNA transcript of Hippopotamus amphibius kiboko, 5056 nucleotides long. It is a transcript of the gene named GSK3B interacting protein, with no coding region annotated. The record is from RefSeq and is a predicted model, not a curated record. The transcript has 3 exons. Lineage: Eukaryota; Metazoa; Chordata; Mammalia; Artiodactyla; Hippopotamidae.
CGGGGAGGCGAGGGGGCGGUGCCGCAGGUCGGUUCCGGACGCCUGGGGAGGGAGUACCAGGAGGACGCGGCGCGCGGGCAGCAAAGACAGAGUACAAAAUGUUAACAGCUAACAUUAACUGAGGACGAUGAAGGUAAUUACCAACCAAACCUUGUCAACUUUUGAAAAAUUCUGUAAAAGGAUUUGAAAUGACAGGCUAGAGGCUAUAUACCGGAGGCUGAAUGGGUCAUGUCAAAAAAUCAUCCUUGAAAGAAGUCCAUGUUAACACGUGAAAUAAAAGAAAAGCUGAGAAGUUGUUGGCCUUUUAAGACUUGUUCCUGAGGUGACGGGAGUAAGAUGGUAGUGUACCCAUGUCGCAUGCUUCUCAGAGCCCUGAAAGACCUCAGCCACAGCCACUCCACAUAUUGUAAAGAGCACCGAACUUGGAGUCGAAGGGUCAAAGAAUCGCAUUUACGAUUUCUGGCUUCUAAGGAAAGACUGUUCGCAGAGCUGUUGUAGGUUGUCGCCUAUUUACAGUCUAAAGGACUUCCCCUGGAGUACCUUCCUAGUUGCCAGAUGAGAUUUCGCCGGAGUCAUGAACUGCCUAACAUUUCUUCACCGUCACCUUCCUCCUGAAUGAGCUGAAGGACAAGACAGUUCUGCUGGCUUGGCUCCUUAUUUCUAGGUGAUACGUGUGUGUCUUUGGUGAAAGUGGGGUGAAGAAUAAUUUUAUAAAUCAGUGUACACAUGGAAAAAUAAGCCAUUUUUAUUUGAAUUACAAAUAAUGUAUAUUUGUAAUGCUGCAGACUAUUCUGAUGUAAAAUUUUAAUGUCAAAAUCUAUAUCUCAGAGCUGUUGAAAGCAUUAAAUGUUGUGUUACAGAAAAUAAAGGUUAAACUAGCUUUAGCUUUGCCUAAAUUCUAAAUGUUGCUAAUUAACCAACUUUAUUCAUCUUUACUUUCUUUCUUUAAAGUUUUUUGUCUUACUGCAAACAUAAUACAUUUUUCUGCCAUAGAAAAUUAAAAUAUAAAAAAAUUAAGAAGUAGGGGACUUCCCUGGUGGUUCAGUGGUUAAGACUCCACACUCCCAAUACAGGGGUCCUGGGUUCCAUCCCUGGUCUGGGAACUGGAUCCCGCAUGCAGAAACGAAGAUCCCUCGUGCCACGACUAAAACCCGGCGCAGCCAAAAAAUAAAAAAUAAAAGAAAUGAAGAGUGAAGGACUUAGUAAUCAGUAUCUUGAUAACCAGUCUCAUGAAUCCUCUAAAACCACUAACACAGCCCCCAAAUUAUACCAACAGAAGUAAGAGCCAUCAAUAAUUACCUUAAUUUGUAAUAAAGAUCAUUAUUACAACUGAAGGGGGAAGGGCUAUAAAGACUUAGAGAAGCUCCAACCCAGUACUAACAUUCCACUCUUCCACCAGCUCCAGCCUCUGCCUAUUAACUUUAUACCCUCAGACCCAGUGCCUGGAAUUUUCAGCUUUUUUGGUUAAUUCCUUGGAUUAAAGCAGUCCUUCUCUUACUUAUUUUUCACUCAGCUAUUUCUCUCAGAGGCAAAGGAAACCCUAGGAGUGGGGAAGCAUAACCUAAAGAGGACAUGGCUUAAGACUGCCAUUUGCUUUAAAAUUCUAGACAAUUUUGCAUCACACUUCGUAAUAUUGUUACUACAACCCAACAGUGAUGUGUAUUUUCCAGGAGUGUCUACUAUGUUUAUCCUGAAGCUUUGUAUGCCCCUUGUCACAGAGCUAAGUACUACAGCUGGAGAAGCAGAAAGUUAGUAUUUUUCCUUUGGUCUCUUCAUGCAGAAAGUAUUUAAUGAAGACCUGCUUUAUGCCAGACACUCUGCUGGUGAUAUUGACACCACAGACCUCCAUUUGCAGUGAGAUAUGGUAGGUACGGAGGUACCAAAACAAAUCCUAAGGAAGGAGAGUAUAGUGAUUAACUCUCCCUUGAGUUCAGAUAUAGAAUCCUGAAACAGAUGUGUCUGAGCUGAAUUUGGAAGGAUUAAAAGUCUGAAAGUUGUGUCAAAAUAUAAUUUUUUAAGUUAAAAACGCGUGCCUUCAAACUUCAGUGUCACAAGGGGCAAUUUGCAGUCAGUUUUCUCCCCAAGCCCAGCCCCUGGCAACUACGAAUCUGAUUUGUGUCUCCACAGUUUUUCUACACUUUCAAAUAAGUAGUAUCUUAAAGUAUAUAGUCUCUUGUGCCUGCCUUCCUCCCCUUUAUCAUCAUGGUUUUAGGUACAAGACUUGUCAUGUGAAUCAGUAGCUCAUUAAUUUUUAUUGCUAAGUAAUAUUCUAUUUUAUGGAUAAAACACAAUGGCUUUAUGCAUUCUUGUAUUGAUAAUACAUUGGUUGUUUCAUGUUUGAAAACAGGAAGUAUUAUGAAUAAAUCUAUAUACAAGCCUUUGUGUAAAUAAAAUAAAAAAUAAAAACGUGUGCCUUAUUCAAACGUAUAGUGAGCAUGUGUCAAAAAUGUAUUUAACUCAUUAAUGAGAAAACCAGCAAGAUGGUGAAGUUGAUUCAGAGUAACACAGGAGAGACAUUGAAAAUCGAUGAAAGAAAAACUGAUGAAAUCAGAUUGCAAAAUUAGCCCCAAACUGGCUAACAGGAUUUCCACUUCUGGCAAAGAUAGAGUAAUAGGGACAGAUUUACCCUUCCACCUGAAACAAGAAAAAAGUGGGCAAAAAUACAUGAAACAAUGGUUUUGAGACUUUGAGCAUUAGGCAGGAAGGACUGUGAUCCCUGAGAGGCAAUAUGCGCGAGAUUAUUGCCUGGCAUUUUCUUGAGAGAAGUUCAGGUAGAACCCAGCAGUCUACCUGAAUUGAGGAUAUGAAGCUAGGAGUCCAGGAAGGCCAAGGCAGCUAGGACAGAGUCCUAGGAGGUAGAGAGCUUCUUAGUGAGAGCCAUGGAUGUGUACAGAGGAUCCCCCUCCAGUCUGCAGCAGAAUACUGAUCAAUACAUAGGUGUGAGGAAACUACCCAGGACUGGGGAAAAGAACUACCCCCCAGAAUUAGAGGGAUUUUCAGAACUCAGACAGGACCAGUGAUAGUUCCACUUCCUCUCCCCCAGAACGAAAAAUCUCAUAAUUCAUAGGCCAUCAGGUAGAGUACUCAGAAAGGUUUUGCCUCCAUAGUCGGGAAAAAAAUUAACCAGGGACUGAAUCAGUUUUGAUACUGCCUUAAAAAGCCUAGAGGCAAGACCUGAAAGGAUCAAACUUUUCCCAGAUAACUACAUCCCAGGGCAAUGCUCAACAAUAUUUAUAGGAAUAUAAAAAUAUCCAGCACCAUACAAGGUAAAAGUCCACACAAUCUGGCAUCCAGUCAAAAAAUAUCAGGCAUGCAAAGCAGCAGUAUACAACCCAUAAUUAGAAAAAUCUAUCAAUUGAAACUAACCCAGAAAUAACAGUGACAUUAAAACAUUUAUUGUAAUUAUCCCAUAUGUUCAAAAAAACUAGAAAAAAGAUUGAGCAAAUUAAGUAGAGACAUGAAAAAUGUUUAAAAAAAAAAAAAAAAACAAUGAACAAACCCAGGUAGAAGAGAUUAGAUACUGCAAAGAAAAGAUUAGAAAAGAACUUGACGACAUAGCAUUGGAAACUAUUCAAAGUGAAAUACAAAGAGGAAAAUAGACUGAAAAAAUGAACAAAAGGGUAGGACAACUUCACUUGGACUAAUAUUCAUGAAAUUGAAGUCCCCAAAGAGAGGAGGGACAAAUAAGUGUUUGAAGAAAUAAUAGCCAGAAUUUUUCCAAAUUUGCUAAACUCUGUGAGCCCAGAGAUGCAAGAGGCUCAAUGAACCCCAAACAAAAGAAACGUGAAGAAAACUACACCAAGAGGAACAAAGGUAACAAUGACAUCAGACUUCUCAUGGGAAGCAGUGCAAGUAAGAUGAUACUAGAGAAACAUCUUUGUUUUUUUCUUAAAAGAAAAAAGUCAGCCUAGGAUUCUAUGCCCAGCAAAAAAUAUCUUUUGAAAAUGAAAGUGAUAGGAAGACUUGUUCAGACAUAGAAAAGCUGAAAGAAUUCAUCAACAGCAGACCUACACUACAGGAAAUAUUUAAGAAAAUCCAUCAGACAGAAGGAAAAUUAUACAGAUCAUAGAUGCAGAUGUAGAUCAACACAAAGAAGUGAGGAGCAUCAGAAAUAAUAACUAUAUGGUUAAAUGUAAAAUGCUUUUUUUUUUAUUAAGCUAAAUCUCUCUGAAAAGUAGCUGUUUAAAGCAAAAAAUAACAGGAAUUCCCUGGUGGCCUACGGGUCAGGAUUCCAAGCUUUCACUGCCAUGGCCUGGGUUCAAUCCCAGGGCAGGGAACUGAAAUCCCACAAGCCACUUGGCAAGGCCAAAAAACAGUUAAAAAUAAUAAUAAAGCAAAAAUAAUAUGUAUUAUGAAGUUUCUAACAUAUGUAGAAGUAAAAUGUAUGACAAAAAUAGCACAAAUUCAAUGAAGAGUUAAGCCAGCAAAGGAUGUAAAAUAGAAUCCUAAAAAGUGGUCAGUCCAGAAGUAGGCAGAAAAAUAAGGAAAAGGGAAUAAAGUACAGUUGGGACAAAUAGAAAACAAACAGCAAGAUAGUAACCACAUCAAUCAUAGUAAUCAUAUUAAAUGUAAAUGGUCUAAAUAGUCCAAUUAAAAGGUAGAGAUUAUCAAUUGGAUGAAAAAGCAAACUAUAUGCUGCCUACAAGAAAUGUACUUUAAAUAUAAAGACACUGCUUUUCCCAUUCUUGAGAGCUUAACACAGCCUGUUAUAUCAAAAUCAAAUUCUGUUGUCUGGGUAUUAGCAUCCUGUCAGAUUGGGCCAUUUCUAUUUAUUACUCGCUUAGCAUUUACCUUGUAAUAGACUACCUAGGCUAGUUUCCUUACAAUUCCUGCCGCACCCUAGACUUAGUUUAUUCCUCUGAAGGAUCCUUCACAACUCUCAAGUCUUCUCUGCUUAUGCAUAAUUUUUCAUCUGUGCUUAUUCAAGCCCAGUUUUGACUGACCUGUUCCAUAAGUCAAGCCCUGCAGUAACUAACAAUUAUGUCAUAAAUCAUGGAAUGUCAGAACUCUCAAGAGCAGUAAAGAAUUUCCUGUCCAUUCCCCCUUGUACUAUAAA